RNAcentral lists this long non-coding RNA (755 nucleotides) under Marmota monax (woodchuck). The record is from RNAcentral. Lineage: Eukaryota; Metazoa; Chordata; Mammalia; Rodentia; Sciuridae.
GGAAAACAGAAGUUUUUACAAAAAAAAUGUGGUUUUCUUAAGUAGCUAUGCAUUUUGUACAACACAGGUGCCAAUUUUGAUUUUUUUCAAAUGUUCAAAUUCCAAAGCAACUGUUAUGCUAAAUUAUCUUUAUGCUGCAUCCUACUUUGUCCCUCAAAUAGCUCAUAUUCUUCCAAGAUCAUUGAAAUCAAUGAAAUUUAGCCAGGAGUUAUCGGCCUAAUAGUGAAGGCAAAGUCUGUGUUCAUUCAACUUCACAUUGUUGUCUCUACAGUGUUCAGUGACCCUAGUGAUUAUUACAUUGUUUCUUUGCAUAUGGUGGAAUGAGAUGGUUCCAUGGAAAGGUUUCCUUGACACAGAAAACUGUAAAAGUACAUUUUCUUCAUACACUGUCAUAAAUCUCCUGGGCAUUAUUGCUAACACUUUCUUCCUUCAGGUCAGCAAUCUAUAAUCUAUCUUUCUCGUAGCAACUGCCGUAUUUAAAUCCAGAAAGAAAAAGGUGGUCCUGACUAUGCUUAUUUGAAGAAUGAAAAUGCAAAGUCUGGAAACAUCUAAGUGUACAUUGUAAAAAUAGAGAUAAUGUUGGAUAUGUUGAUAUAAAAUUUCAAUUAAAUGCUAGUCACUCAAGUUUUUAUUUUGAUUUGUUAUGUGCAUUAUAAUUUAGUAGAACAUACACAUCUUUUAAGCCCUUUUAAUUUUCCUGUUUCAGUUGGUGGCAAGUUUAGCCACAAAUGAUCAGUGCUAAAGGUAGACUAGUC